Pelobates cultripes (western spadefoot toad) is the source of this 167-nucleotide non-coding RNA. NCBI's taxonomy places the organism in Eukaryota, Metazoa, Chordata, Amphibia, Anura, Pelobatidae. The record is from the annotation of a GenBank genome assembly.
GCAGACACAUUCCAGCCAAUCAGCAGCAGACCCUCCCUCCCAGACCCUCCCACCUCCUGGACAGCUCACUAAGAAUGCAGCUUCACAAUGAAUGUAAAUGGAUGCUGUCCAGGAGGUGGGAGGGUCUGGGAGGGAGGGUCUGCUGCUGAUUGGCUGGAAUGUGUCUG